GCGCACCAGUCGCGAAAACUUUACAAUGUGCGAAAGCACGAUAAGGGAACUCUGAGUGCCUCCUAAGGAGGCUGUUCUGAUGUCUAAAAGCAACAGAAGUAAGGGCUGGGUAAGACCGGUGCCAGCCGCCGCGGUAACACCGGCAGUCCAAGUGGUAGCCACGUUUAUUGGGUCUAAAGCGCUCGUAGCCGGCCAGGUAAGUUCCUUGGUAAAUUUAGCCGCUUAACGGUUAAGCUUUCGGGGAAUACUGCUUGGCUUGGGACUGGGAGAGGUCAGAGGUACUCCGGGGGUAGGGGUGAAAUCUAUUAAUCCCUGGGGGACCACCGGUAGCGAAGGCGUCUGACCAGACCAGGUCCGACGGUGAGGGACGAAGGCUAGGGGCGCGAACCGGAUUAGAUACCCGGUGUAGU
This 410-nucleotide ribosomal RNA is filed under the name uncultured microorganism. RNAcentral's name for it is "bacterial SSU rRNA". It matches the Rfam family "Archaeal small subunit ribosomal RNA", at positions 330 to 745 of the family's 1478-position model. The record is from RNAcentral.